RNAcentral lists this long non-coding RNA (360 nucleotides) under Ananas comosus (pineapple). RNAcentral describes it as "long non-coding RNA (ACOM_LNC026256)". Lineage: Eukaryota; Viridiplantae; Streptophyta; Magnoliopsida; Poales; Bromeliaceae. The record is from RNAcentral.
UUUUUUAUUUUACAAUAUUAUGUAAAUAAAUUUUAUCAUACAUAUUUGAUUUUACUAUUUAUUAUUUACAACAUUAUCAUACGAUACAUCACUUUGAGUUUUAUCUUCGAUACCACCUUUAGGACCACUUUGAGUUCUACCUUCAGCACCACCUUUAGUACCACUAUGAGUGCUGCCUUUAGUACAACCUUCAGCACUACUUUCAGCAUUCUUUUCAGUACCAUCUUAAAUAAGAACCGCCUUAAUAAUAUUCUAAUUAAUUAUUUUAAUUCAUAAAUCUAUAUAACCAAAUAUCUUUUCAUAUAUGCCUUCUAUAUCUAUGUUUGAUAUAAAACUCUUAUGUUGUAGCUUCGCAUUUAA